Molecule: long non-coding RNA, 2211 nt
Filed under: Fragaria vesca (wild strawberry)
Lineage: Eukaryota; Viridiplantae; Streptophyta; Magnoliopsida; Rosales; Rosaceae
Description: long non-coding RNA (FVES_LNC000172)
Source: RNAcentral
AACAACAGUUCCUCUCUUCUUUUUUCUUCUCCAUACAAAGGCAGUGAGGCUAUCACUAUUCACUUUUAUCAUUUGCCCGCCAAAGUAUGGUGUAUUACGUUAUGAACACUUCAAUUACAGGCUGCGACAUGAUUCAGUUCUCUCAGCUGGAAACUUACUUCUUUAGACACUAACCUUAGUCACAACUGAAUCUUGAUCUUAAUUACUUGGUAAUAAUUUGAGGGUUCCACCGCUGUAAAGUGUAAACUAGCUCUUUCACCUCCAAUAUGGAUUACAGGUCACAUGGUUAUCCGAAGACAAUCUCCAAUUUGCCUAAUGCAUUACAAUUUUUAGCGGUACUUCAUUAUCAUCAUUGGUCUAAAUUAAGGAUAAAAUUCAGUAGGUGAAUUUGUCAGCUACUCUAUCACUUUAUAUCAAAAAUUUCCCACUUUAUCUUAUUCUUAUGGGCCAAUUACAUAUAAGUCCACUUUGAGACAUUUUUUCUCACAUAGAUCCACCCCAACAUUUUUACCCACAUAAGUCCACCCAAAUCUAAAUAAAGUUUUGUAUAAAGUAUUAAAGUUCAACAUAAUUACAGACUGCCAUCCAACAAAAAAAAUUAGAUUUUCUCCUUUAUAUUUACAAGAAUGCCACUAGUAUAAAAAGUCAACAACCAUUCUCAUUUCGGAACAGUCUCCGGCGGACCUCCGGCGAGAUUUCCAGCGGACCUCCGGCGAGGUUUUCGGCCGACCUCCGGCGAGAUUUCCGACUGACCUCCGACGAGAUUUCCGACUGACCUCCGGCGAGGUUUCCGGCCGACCUCCGACGAUGACAAAAAUUACUACUACCAGCUAAAAAAGCUACUACCACCAGCUAUAAAAGCUACUACCACCGCCUACAAAAGCUACUACAAAAGUUUCCGGCCGACCUCCGGCGAGGUUUCCGACCGACCUCCGGUGAGGUUUCCGACCGACCUCCGGUGAGGUUUCCGGCCGACCUCCGACGAUGACAAAAAUUACUACUACAAGCUAAAAAAGCUACUACCACCAGCUAUAAAAGCUACUACCACCGCCUACAAAAGCUACUACUGUGAGGUUUCUGAUGAAAACAAAAGCUACUACCACAAGCUACAAAAGCUACUACCACCGCCUACAAAAGCUACUACUGUGAGGUUUUCGACGAACACAAAACUACUACCACCAGCGACAAAAGCUACUACCACCAGCUACAAAAGCUACUACCACCGCCUACAAAAGCUACUACUGUGAGGUUUCCGAUGAACACAAAAGCUACUACCACCAGCCACAAAAAAUACUACCACCGCCUACAAAAACUACUACUGUGAGGUUUUCGACGAACACAAAAACUACUACCACCAGCCACAAAAGCUACUACCACCGCCUACAAAAGCUACUACCACAGCCUACAAAAGCUACUACUGUGAGCUUUUCGACGAACACAAAAAAUACUACCACCAGCCACAAAAGCUACUACCACCAUCUACAAAAACUAUUACCACCGUCUACAAAAGCUACUACGUCCAUUGAUUCAUCAAAUUACACAACUAAAUUAGCAGUCAGUGAUGCGUGAUCAAGAUUGAACAAGAAUAGAAAUGAAUCGGAAUACUCAUAAAACCACAGCCCUUGGAUCGGCCUGUGUCCUUGUCAGAAAUGACAACCGCCUCAAGGCGGUGGAUCCUCGAUAGAUCUGCACCUCACCGACGAAUCACCUUCGUCGUCACCGUCUCGAACUCAUAGGAGAAGGUGCGGAGAAGAAGAUGACGAGGCUGAUCGGAGAAGGUGCGGCCAGUGAUGACGGGGCUGAUCAGAGGAUCGGAAAAGGUAGAGGAAGGUCCACACACACUGGGGAGAUCUACUAAGGCGCAUAAAUCUCUGCUUCCAACGGCGGCGGGCGCCGAACAAGUGGUGGAUGACGUCGUCGGAGUUGGUUGGACCUUGUAGAUCCGGCUGCGCGUUGAGGAGAUGCAGUCGAGGUCGAAGCGGAGGUCGUCGAGGAGUCGUCGACGGUGGAUCCAGAUGUCAUCGUCAAGGCGACGGCAUCGUCAGAGCCGGAGAUGCAAUCAAGGCUUAGUCGGAAGUAGCGCCGAGGAGGCGGCGGCUUCGCCAUGGCAGUGGGUUCGCGAGAGAGAGAGAGAGAGAGAGAGAGAGAGAGAGAGAGAGAGAGAGAGAGAGAGAGAGAGAGAGAGAGAGAGAGAGAGAGAGAGAGAGAGAG